GUGACCUCAAAUCAGGUAGGACUACCCGCUGAACUUAAGCAUAUCAAUAAGCGGAGGAAAAGAAACUAACAAGGAUUCCCCUAGUAACUGCGAGUGAAGCGGGAAAAGCUCAAAUUUAAAAUCUGGCGGUCUUUUGGCCGUCCGAGUUGUAAUCUAGAGAAGUGUUAUCCGCGCUGGACCGUGUACAAGUCUCCUGGAAUGGAGCAUCAUAGAGGGUGAGAAUCCCGUCUUUGACAUGGACUGCCAGGGCUUUUGUGAUGCGCUCUCAAAGAGUCGAGUUGUUUGGGAAUGCAGCUCAAAAUGGGUGGUAAAUUCCAUCUAAAGCUAAAUAUUGGCGAGAGACCGAUAGCGAACAAGUACCGUGAGGGAAAGAUGAAAAGAACUUUGGAAAGAGAGUUAAACAGUACGUGAAAUUGCUGAAAGGGAAACGCUUGAAGUCAGUCGCGUCGUCCAGGGAUCAACCUUGCUUUUGCUUGGUGCACUUUCUGGUCUGACGGGUCAGCAUCAAUUUUGAUCAUAUAUUGGAAAAAGAUUGAGGGAAUGUGGCAUCCUCGGAUGUGUUUAUAGCCCUUGGUCAAAUACAAUGGUUGGGAUUGAGGAACUCAGCACGCCGCAAGGCCGGGUGUUUACACCACGUACGUGCUUAGGAUGCUGGCAAUAUGGCUUUAAUCGACC
This 675-nucleotide ribosomal RNA is filed under the name Thaxterogaster cf. variegatus PK5625. RNAcentral's name for it is "eukaryotic LSU rRNA". It matches the Rfam family "Eukaryotic large subunit ribosomal RNA", at positions 1 to 649 of the family's 3401-position model. Lineage: Eukaryota; Fungi; Basidiomycota; Agaricomycetes; Agaricales; Cortinariaceae. The record is from RNAcentral.